UGGAAUAUGGUGUAAUUGGUAACACGUCUGGUUUUGGUCCAGAAGAGUGGGGGUUCGAGACCCUCUAUUCCAA
This 73-nucleotide transfer RNA is filed under the name Cellulophaga phage phi17:2. It matches the Rfam family "tRNA". Rfam says of the family: Transfer RNA (tRNA) molecules are approximately 80 nucleotides in length. Their secondary structure includes four short double-helical elements and three loops (D, anti-codon, and T loops). The record is from Rfam by way of RNAcentral. Lineage: Duplodnaviria; Heunggongvirae; Uroviricota; Caudoviricetes. RNAcentral also lists the same sequence under 4 other names.